RNAcentral lists this long non-coding RNA (1923 nucleotides) under Phoenix dactylifera (date palm). RNAcentral's name for it is "long non-coding RNA (PDAC_LNC003626)". Lineage: Eukaryota; Viridiplantae; Streptophyta; Magnoliopsida; Arecales; Arecaceae. The record is from RNAcentral.
AGGAGAGAGUCGGCCCGAGGCCCGAUGCAAACUGGUACUCUUCUUCUCUUCUCUCUUCUUCUUCCUCUUCUUUUUUCCUAUUUCUUCCUCUUCUUUCCUCUUCUUUCUCUUCUUCCCUACCGGUGCGAAUCGUUUUCAAAGGUUGUACCGUACCAGUCUUGAGCGGUACCGGUACGGUACGGGCUGACCCGGCCGGUACGAGCAGGUUCAGCAGAUCCUGAUCAUGCGCUUUAGCACACUAGCACAAUGGAAACCAUUCAUUUUUUUGUCAUUUUAAUGUAUUGGCUAGAAACCACCCAACACAUGAUUUUUGGUUUCUAUGCACUUUUAACGGUACAUAUCAUUAUCAAUGUUGUAGAUCUUCAAUUUGGAUGCCCCCUAAUUAAUUUUAGACUUGAGAGUAGAUACCUUCUCUUGAGAGAAGCAUAGUCCAUCCCUAUUACUAAUGCAAUAUUUAUAUGUAAAAAUAUUUUUAACCUUCUUAAACCUAUUUAUUAUAAAUUUUAAUGUUUAUGUAACUUAAUAAAUGCACUCGUACCUUGGCUAUCAUAAUUUUGUCAUUUCUUUUUUAAAACUAAAACCAAGAGAUGUGGAUUUAACUAAAAAAAAGGAGCGUCCAUAGAUAAAGAACUUAGUUGUAAAAUAGCCUAGGCAAUGUUAGGUGAUAGACCCUCCUAAAGCCUAGGCAAUAGCCAGGCAAUUAGGCGACCCCUAUGCAAAUAUUUUUUUUCAAAAUUUAUCAAAUGAUAAUAUCUUUCAAUUGUUAAAUUAAAUAUGCAUUAUGCUUAAUAAAUUAUCCAUAUUGUUUGAACCAAAGACACAUUGAUAGCAAUUAAUGCAUGAGUUCUACUUAAAAUACAAUAAAUUAAUAAAAUAUUUUUUGAUUUAAGCUUAAAGAACACAAGUAUACAAUAUUUGUUUCCUUAGCUCAAAUAGUAGAGCGCACAUUCUCUAUUGGAUGUGGAUGUGGGUUCACUGGGGAAAAAGCUAGAUGAUUUUAAUUGUGAUGAAGUCAAUCAAGCAAUGUAAACUCAAUAAGGGCAUAUAAAGAAUAUGGAUAUUGUAAGAAGAAAAUGUUUAAUAUGCCAUAUGCUUAAUCUGCCAAACAAGCUAACAUUUAAACAAUGACAAAAGAAAUAAUAAAGGCAUGUAGUAAACAAAUAAACAAAAAGAAAACAUGUCUAACAUACAAGUAGUAAACUUAAAAUAUAUAUUAGUAAGACAUCAUUUGAUCUAAAGUUAAAGAAAACAAGUAUACACAGAUGAGCACCUUGUUAUUAGUAACUUGCUACUAUGAUAAUAUUAAUGGCACUAUAAUGUUAAAUAUAAUAUUAAAAAAAGAAAACAUAGAUUAAUACAAGGAAAAAAUUGGAAAGUGAAAAAAGUAUGUUCUCAUUUUCCUAAAACAGAGAGUCCUAAAACCAAAAAUCCCUAAUCCAUUUACUUAAUUCAAGCACAUUUUUAACUUACCAAUCUAACUCGACAUAAAAAACAAAUAGAAUCCAUGAUAAGAAUUAAUACAUCAUCACUCUGUAGAUCAUAAUUUAUUAGCAAAAUCUAGCAGUGUGAUUGCAUAAAAAAAUACAAGAAAUAUCAUCUAUAAAACAUCAGUUAUAAUUUCUGAUUAUUUUUAAUCAAAGAGAGGGAAAGAGGUGAGGAGGAAGUAUUAUUAUUAAUCAGAGAGAGCCUGUUUUCUAGAAAACAGAGGGUGGGGAAAAAUAGCAUUUAGAUAUACCCACAGGCAUCCAACCUAACCUUAACAAAAAAGGGGAAAAAACCAUAGGCAGUCAGACCUUCAACAGAUUUAAAAAAUGAAUCCCCAACCCAUAGUAUGCUGAGUGGAGAACCUCUUAUUAAUUAAGCAUUUCAUGGGGGGAAGUGGAAGAAAUAAUGAGAGAGACAUGGACUUACCCUAAGGCCUCU